Molecule: long non-coding RNA, 422 nt
Filed under: Nicotiana tabacum (common tobacco)
Lineage: Eukaryota; Viridiplantae; Streptophyta; Magnoliopsida; Solanales; Solanaceae
Description: long non-coding RNA (NTAB_LNC005443)
Source: RNAcentral
AUUUUGGUCAAUAACAAUUGUCUCCAAUGCAGAUUGACCUUGUGUAUUUGUCACCAUUGUCUUGCUUUGAUGUUGUUCUAUUUUUUGCAAUUUGUUCCUGCUCUUACUCAACAUUCCAGUGCUAGAAGCAGUAGGAUAUACAGGAUUUAAGGGAAUAGAACUCACCAUUGCAUCCAAGAGUCUUCUUUCCUCCUCUGAAAUAUCUGGGAUGGUUGUAACAAUUUGGUUCUAUCCAGAAUUUGUUGUUGUGACUUCUCGAUCACGUAGAUGAGUAGCAUCAGUAUUAGUAACAUUUGAAGUGUUGGGAAUAACUUGUUGCUGCUGCACAGUAGUUGUAGGUGUUCCAGCUACUGCAUUUUGAAUAGCUGGAGAUGAAGGAUUUUUGGGAAUGAAAGCAGGAGCAUUGGAGUUCAAAUUGCUCA